RNAcentral lists this unclassified non-coding RNA (236 nucleotides) under Hevea brasiliensis (rubber tree). The record is from RNAcentral. Lineage: Eukaryota; Viridiplantae; Streptophyta; Magnoliopsida; Malpighiales; Euphorbiaceae.
AAAGCUUCAAAGGCUACAGAGAGAAAGAGAUGUGGAUGAUUUGCAGUGAUGUUGACGGAAGAAGGAAGCGUCAAUACUCCUUAUUUUCUGGUCAUCUUUUUUGUUUUUGGCUGAUUGAUGGGAGUUGUAGAGAGAUAGAGAGAUCAAAAGCAGGAAGCCGCGCUGAUCUGCUGCGGUGUAGUUUCGGCUUUGCCCUUUUUGCUAAUUCCCACAGCCCAGUUUACCCCUUGUGGAAG